Molecule: long non-coding RNA, 285 nt
Organism: Monopterus albus (swamp eel)
Lineage: Eukaryota; Metazoa; Chordata; Actinopteri; Synbranchiformes; Synbranchidae
Exons: 3
Source: RefSeq, a predicted model, not a curated record
AAACUGAAGAAACUGCUUUCACCUAACAACUGUAGAAAGAUAAAGGUUUAUCUCUUGAUGUCAUGGCAUCCAAGAACUCCACACUUAAGUGGCAUCUCCCAUUAGUCAAGUCCACCCUGGUUAUGUUCAUUAUUCUUAUGCCAGCUCCAUGCAGUACCACCAAGGUGGAAUGCAAUGAGCCGAAUCAACCUGCCCUGCUGGAGGCUCUGACUCCAGUCUUUAACCUGAGCACCAUACGACCCGUCAUGAACUUGACAACCUGCACCAAAGUCAACACAUUCUUCA